RNAcentral lists this unclassified non-coding RNA (2268 nucleotides) under Hevea brasiliensis (rubber tree). The record is from RNAcentral. Lineage: Eukaryota; Viridiplantae; Streptophyta; Magnoliopsida; Malpighiales; Euphorbiaceae.
GCAUGUGGUAGCAGAAGUCGACGAGGAUUUUGGUAGCAGUCUUCUCUCUAUUCUCUUCCCUCCUAUUUUCCUAAUUUGCUCAAAUCCAGAGCUCAUAAUGUUCGGUGGUGGCGGCGCUCGUAUUUCCAACCAUUUGCGAGAGUUUAACUACCUCCACCACCAACCCAAGUUAGGGAUUUGCAGUACCAGAAUUGUCCAGCUCUCUUCUUUCAUCUUCACACCUUCCUCCGUUACUAUUAUCGCCGACAAUUGUAAUAAUCGUCAUUUUCGUCAUCGAUUGCAGCAGGGAAUGGUGUCUUCUUCCAGCCUCCAAUCCAAAUCCUCUGGUGAAAUCCCCAUUAUUCCUGAUCGUUUCAGGUUCUACUUCUAUUCUGUCCUGCUGCUUUUUGAAAAGCAUGGAAAUUUAUUGCUCUUUUAUAGUUUAGGUGCCUGUUUAAUCAAAUAAUUGGUAGGUUCCUAUUUGUGUUUGUGGUUUUUACUGUCUCUCUAAUACAUCUCAUGGAUGGUCAAGUAGCUGAUGAAUUUUCUUUGUGCAAAGCCUAGAAGAAGAUGAUCAUCAACUCCCAUCUGAAGGGUUGUCUCCUUUGGCAGGUUUCUUUUUUUAUUCUGUUUACCCUUUUGUUAUAUCUCACAGCUUAAUUUUUCUAUUUGCUACGCACACGUUUGUGACAUUGAUUACAAUAUUGCCAUAAAAGAUUAAGUCUUUUGCUCUUAUUUUUCCUCUUUAUUCUCUUUUCUUUUUUGGCAUACAAUCUCUUCUUGGAUAUUUUUGUUGUGGUAUCGUUUUUAACUUGAUGGAAUGCUUGUUUGGAUUAAGAUUUAAGAGCUUCUCUGUUGGAAUUUAGUGUUGAAUCUUUCUUUCUUUCUUCUUAUCUUUCUAGGGCUCCUAGAAUUCUUAAUAAUGAUUGUUUGGUCGCUGUUCUUGCAGGAGGAAUAGUAGCACUUGGAAAGUUUGAUGCUCUUCACAUUGGUCAUCGAGAACUUGCUAUUCAAGCAUCAAAAGUGGGAACUCCAUAUCUUUUAUCUUUUGUAGGAAUAGCAGAAGUACUUGGAUGGGAGCCUAGGGCUCCAGUGGUCGCUAAAUGUGAUCGGAGUAGGGUUCUUACCUCCUGGGCCCCAUACUGUGAUAAUGUUGCCCCAUCAGAGUUCGAUAUUGAUUUUUCAAGUGUUCGACAUCUCAACCCACGGCAGUUUGUUGAGAAGUUAUCUAAGGAGCUCAGAGUAUGUGGAGUGGUGGCGGGGGAAAACUACCGGUUUGGAUAUAAAGCUGCUGGUGAUGCAUCUGAGCUUUUGAGGCUGUGUGAAGAGUAUGGUAUGCGGGCUUACAUUAUAAAUUCUGUUAUGGACAAGAAUAAAGAUCCUGGAAACACUGACUCGAAUGAUCUAAAGGAUAGAGGACAAGUCUCAUCCACCCGUGUUCGCCAUGCUUUAGCUCUAGGUGAUAUGAAAUAUGUGUCAGAACUUCUAGGUCGUAGACAUCGUCUCAUGUUAAUGCUAAAAGAACAGAGAGGAUUUAUGAACACUAGUGGUAGAAGGAAGGCCUCAAUUCCAAAGUCUUGUUUAUUGAAUCUUCCACCAAAGGAUGGUUUCUACAAGAACUGUUUUCUUUUAUUUGGUGAUGAGAACCCAGUGAAAUGUAGUGUAUUCAUUGAUUCCACAUAUAUCCAUUUAGAAACAGAUGAGGUAGGUCUUAGUAAUUACAAUGGUUCUCAAGACUUCCAGCUCUUGGGUGUUGAAUUUGGUCUUUGAGGAACUCAUUGUACUUAAUUUAUUUGUUCUCAAUUUUGCUUUCAUUAAAUUGAAGCAGUUCAUGGCGAAGCUUCAUCAAUGCCUCAAAGAAUGAUGUACACGAGUUGAAGCUCAUAGUAAAUUGUACCUCAAUACAUAUUGAACUUUGUUAACUGUUUCUGUGAAUUGUUUUCAUUUAGAAGUGCAAGUCCCUACAAAAUACAGUUUCACAUAUAGGCUCUAUGACAUUAAUGUUGACAUGAGUUUUCUUUUGGUUCAACAAAUUUUCAGUCACUGUCUCACUGAUGAUGUUUUCUUAGUUACUUCUAUCCUACGCUUGAUUACAAGCCUUGGAAAAGUUUCACUGAGAACUUGUUGGCAGCUGGAAUGAUGGAAUGAAAAGCAGCUGGAGAUAUUGUGAAACCUGUGGUAACCAUAAGCAACACCAUUACUUAAUCCCUUCUAAUGUUUUCUCGUCAUUAGAGUUCUCUUGAGAUGCAAAUUUGUGUUUUUCCUAUUUAGUUUGGAACUGACAUUUUU